This is a long non-coding RNA of Haliotis rubra (blacklip abalone), 85 nucleotides long. RefSeq lists it as uncharacterized. The record is from RefSeq and is a predicted model, not a curated record. The transcript has 3 exons. Lineage: Eukaryota; Metazoa; Mollusca; Gastropoda; Lepetellida; Haliotidae.
UGGGUUCGAAUCCCUACAUGGGUAGAAUGUGUGAACUCCAUUUUUUCCCCGCCGUGAUAUUGCUGGAAUAUUGCUUAAAGCGGCG